RNAcentral lists this ribosomal RNA (627 nucleotides) under Escherichia coli. Its description in RNAcentral is "partial 23S ribosomal RNA". It matches the Rfam family "Bacterial large subunit ribosomal RNA", at positions 1261 to 1873 of the family's 2925-position model. The record is from RNAcentral. Lineage: Bacteria; Pseudomonadati; Pseudomonadota; Gammaproteobacteria; Enterobacterales; Enterobacteriaceae.
CUGUGAGGCAUGCUGGAGGUAUCAGAAGUGCGAAUGCUGACAUAAGUAACGAUAAAGCGGGUGAAAAGCCCGCUCGCCGGAAGACCAAGGGUUCCUGUCCAACGUUAAUCGGGGCAGGGUGAGUCGACCCCUAAGGCGAGGCCGAAAGGCGUAGUCGAUGGGAAACAGGUUAAUAUUCCUGUACUUGGUGUUACUGCGAAGGGGGGACGGAGAAGGCUAUGUUGGCCGGGCGACGGUUGUCCCGGUUUAAGCGUGUAGGCUGGUUUUCCAGGCAAAUCCGGAAAAUCAAGGCUGAGGCGUGAUGACGAGGCACUACGGUGCUGAAGCAACAAAUGCCCUGCUUCCAGGAAAAGCCUCUAAGCAUCAGGUAACAUCAAAUCGUACCCCAAACCGACACAGGUGGUCAGGUAGAGAAUACCAAGGCGCUUGAGAGAACUCGGGUGAAGGAACUAGGCAAAAUGGUGCCGUAACUUCGGGAGAAGGCACGCUGAUAUGUAGGUGAAGUCCCUCGCGGAUGGAGCUGAAAUCAGUCGAAGAUACCAGCUGGCUGCAACUGUUUAUUAAAAACACAGCACUGUGCAAACACGAAAGUGGACGUAUACGGUGUGACGCCUGCCCGGUGCCGGA